This 246-nucleotide unclassified non-coding RNA is filed under the name Chalara sp. RNAcentral describes it as "partial internal transcribed spacer region". The stretch from base 1 to 46 matches the Rfam family "Eukaryotic small subunit ribosomal RNA", at positions 1786 to 1831 of the family's 1831-position model. Lineage: Eukaryota; Fungi; Ascomycota; Leotiomycetes; Helotiales. The record is from RNAcentral.
AAGUCGUAACAAGGUUUCCGUAGGUGAACCUGCGGAAGGAUCAUUACCGAAGUCAAGGCCCCUUCGGGGGCUAAACUUCCACCCUUUGUUUACCUUACCAUUGUUGCUUUGGCGGGCCGCCUUAGGCCACCGGCUCUCGAGCUGGUGCGUGCCCGCCAGAGACCCCCAAACCCAAACCAUAUUUAGUGUCGUCUGAAAACAAGUUUAAAUUAUUUAAAACUUUCAACAACGGAUCUCUUGGCUCUC